Molecule: ribosomal RNA, 414 nt
Filed under: Kryptoperidinium foliaceum
Lineage: Eukaryota; Dinophyceae; Peridiniales; Kryptoperidiniaceae
Description: partial Bacterial small subunit ribosomal RNA
Rfam family: Bacterial small subunit ribosomal RNA
Source: RNAcentral
GCUUGUUGGUGGGGUAAUGGCCUACCAAGGCGACGAUCUCUAGCUGGUCUGAGAGGAUGAUCAGCCACACCGGAACUGAGACACGGUCCGGACUCCUACGGGAGGCAGCAGUGGGGAAUAUUGGACAAUGGGCGCAAGCCUGAUCCAGCCAUGCCGCGUGAGUGAUGAAGGCCUUAGGGUCGUAAAGCUCUUUCGCCUGUGAAGAUAAUGACUGUAGCAGGUAAAGAAACCCCGGCUAACUCCGUGCCAGCAGCCGCGGUAAUACGGAGGGGGCUAGCGUUGUUCGGAAUUACUGGGCGUAAAGCGCACGUAGGCGGAUCGUUAAGUGAGGGGUGAAAUCCCAGGGCUCAACCCUGGAACUGCCUUUCAUACUGGCGAUCUUGAGUUCGAGAGAGGUGAGUGGAAUUCCGAGUG